RNAcentral lists this transfer RNA (77 nucleotides) under Parahaemophilus parainfluenzae. RNAcentral describes it as "Haemophilus parainfluenzae tRNA-Pro". It matches the Rfam family "tRNA". From Rfam's summary of the family: Transfer RNA (tRNA) molecules are approximately 80 nucleotides in length. RNAcentral also lists the same sequence under 1 other name. The record is from RNAcentral. Lineage: Bacteria; Pseudomonadati; Pseudomonadota; Gammaproteobacteria; Pasteurellales; Pasteurellaceae.
CGGAGCGUAGCGCAGCCCGGUAGCGCAUCUGGUUCGGGACCAGGGGGUCGCGAGUUCAAAUCUCGCCGCUCCGACCA